Molecule: long non-coding RNA, 1186 nt
Organism: Cotesia glomerata
Lineage: Eukaryota; Metazoa; Arthropoda; Insecta; Hymenoptera; Braconidae
Exons: 4
Source: RefSeq, a predicted model, not a curated record
UUUCAGCGUGUAAAAAGGUAACGUUUAUUGUUAUAAGCAGGUUUAAUAAUGAAAGCGCUGAAUUGCGUAGUCGAUGAUAUUGCCUGGUGUGCUCGCAGCGUUAAUAAAUGCAACCAUGCGAUAACGUUUCUCGUGCAAAUUGGAUUCAGUGACUUCCAUAGGUCAAAGUUACAUUCAUAAAUACACCAGUAUACUAUUCAAAAUUUAUUUUGUUUUUUUGUCCGCAAAUCGAUCCUCUGUUGGAUUAUAUAAUGACCGACACUUGCAUUGGUGUUUAAAUUUUAAGUGACGAACUAAACAAGUAAAGUAUGAUAUUUAUACGAAGGAUUUAAUGUGAUAAUUACCGGAAUGUCGAGGAAAAAAUGAUCCAUAAAUAAAUAAAUAAAAUAAAAAUCAACGCGAACAUUUUCCUUUUAUGCAAUUUAAUUAUGUAAUUAAAUUCGACGCAGAAUUAAAGACCGGAUGAGGUGCGACAGUCAAGUUUGAAUUAAAUAAUUAUUAUUGUACGGAUGUUUUUUUAUUUCACAGUGAUUAAGAAAAUAUUUUGAGAUAAGCGUGAUAAAAAUUAAUCGCCGGCCUAAGAAGAAAGGAGCGGAAUGAAUUGAAAUGAGAAAAGAUGUGUAUAAUGGAGAGAUAAUAGUUUUCAAGCUCGGGUUAUUAAUUAUUAAUUAAUAAUUAAUGAAGUUCCAAAAGGAAGCGGAGAUUGCCCCAUAGUCUGUCGUCUUCACGAUCAAAAUCAAUUCAAGGAAGUUAUUUAUUCGCUGAUCUUACACAAGAGUUUUUGGUUUUUUUUUUAAUCAAAAUUUAGUUUUUUUUUUUUGAGGUUGAGAUCGGUGUUUUGGUUCGGAUUUUUUAACGUGUUAAUCUGUUGAAAUUUAGGGAAGAUGAUGAAUAAUGGAGCAAAAGGAUAAGACCGGAUAACGUAUGGAUGCCGCGUAGCAAUGAUAUCGACUGGAUUGAUGGAGAAAACCAGCGGACAUGUGGGGGAGUUCGGAUAAGGGUAAAGGGUGAAGAGGUAGUUGCGGUAAGGGUGAAACUGGGUAGGAAAUUAUGCUCCGAUUGUUCGUCUAUGUUUAUUCACCGACACACCUUUGAUCCAUGAAGUUCGUCUUUCAAUAAAAAUACUUUCUAAUUAUUUAAUUUAGUUUCAUUUUAUAAUUUUAAAAUUGCACGACUAUUAUUGUUA